AUAGUUUCCUUGGUAACUUCUGUGAAGAAACACAGUUUAUAUCCUUGAAUAGGUAGGAAAAGAAUGAACAGGAUAAGUAAAAGAAUCAUGGCAACCUUGUCGGGGAUAUUCAGAAACAGAAAAUAACACCUGCUUUCUCACUUCCAGAGCUAUUAGCUUCCCAGUUUGCACAGUUCAUCAAGAAGUAAUGCCGGGCCACUGGCACAAAUGAUGAGGCAUCUCCUGGAAGCUUAACUUCCUAUCCAUCCCAUCUCUUGGACAGACGAUGCCAGUUAAUUACUUUGAAUGUUCAUGUUGCUGAGGAGGCAGAGGGCUGAGUUCUUCCAUCCAUCGCCUUCAAGUGUCAGGCGGCUUCCGGUUGGACAAGAUGGCUACCCCAGUGGGCUUGUUUCCUCUCUGGUCUCUUUUUCUGUCUAAGACUCACUCCAUACCAGC
This 435-nucleotide long non-coding RNA is filed under the name Homo sapiens (human). RNAcentral's name for it is "HSALNT0391214". The record is from RNAcentral. Lineage: Eukaryota; Metazoa; Chordata; Mammalia; Primates; Hominidae.